ACCACAUUACUUCCCUCACCUUUUUCUGAUGUCAACCGUUGAAUUUCAUUCUUUGGACUUCCAAUUUCAUUCUCUUCGAUUUCCAUUUCAGCACAGUAGGAGUCCUCAGAGUUAACCCCAUCACCCAUACACAUACUGGUCCCUUCUACAUAUAACAUCUCCUCUUCCAUUUUUACUAACUAUACUAGCUCACCAGCACUAAGAAGAAGAAAAAGCAAACGCUUAAUUCUCACUGACAACACAAGGCAACAUCCUGCAAAAGCUACUGAACUGACUAAUCUUCUAUUGAAGAAAUGUAACGAAAUCUUCCUACUUCAAAAUCCCAAUUCCACAGAAAGAAAUGCCUGUUUCCUAAAAAUAGAAAUUCCAAUUUCCUUUCCCUUAUCUCAGACAGUUCACAGC
RNAcentral lists this unclassified non-coding RNA (402 nucleotides) under Hevea brasiliensis (rubber tree). The record is from RNAcentral. Lineage: Eukaryota; Viridiplantae; Streptophyta; Magnoliopsida; Malpighiales; Euphorbiaceae.